GAUUAUAAAGAAAAGCCUCUGGGCAUCUCAGGGCAGUCUUUGUGCCUGGAGCUGGGCCCAUUGCAGUGACCAGCAUGACAGACCCUUGUUCCAGCACAAGUCUUCUCCCAGCCAGCAGGAUAGCACAGCCCACGUCCCACACCUGGAGGUUGAGCUGCAUAACAUCUCCAUGCCUACAAAGUCUCACUGUCUCUGAGCACAAAGCUGGCAUGCAACUCAUCCUAGGAGAAAGGUUUUGAGUGGAAGUGUGAUUUAUGAUUCUUCAUGGAGAGUGUUCAGCUUGCAUGUUUGGAACUGUAUUUUUUUGCAGGUUGCAUAUAAGAAAUGAAAUCUAACUGUGCCUUCACCACGUGCAGCAUUCUGGAGAAAUAAGAGAGGGGAGCAAGAGCUGUCAGUAAGCAGCUUGCUAUUUUUGUCUGCUCUCACCAUGUAUAUAACUGGACCAGAAGCUUUUUUUAAACAAUGGUUGUUCCAGUGUUUGAAAUAACAAAGCCAAGCCUUCUAGUCAUAUUUUGUAGUUAAUACAAUGAAAUAAUAUUGUUGGUUGUUUUGUUUGUUUGUUUUUGUUUGUUUGUUUGUUUUUUUAACAUAGAAAAUGUAUUAAAAUAAAACUGGGCUCUUGGUAACAGAACCUGGAAGCCCUGUUCUAUUUUCCUGUAAAUGUAGUCAGAAGAUCUUUCAAGACUAAACUUAGGAAGUGUCUGAUUAAUAUGAAGAUGAGAACAAGCCCAGCCUGGCUCAGCUUCCUGAACGAUGCAACUGAAGAGCAGCGGUGCACAUUAACCACUGCUUCUUGGCGUGACUUGGAUAAAACAAGCAGCUCUGUGCAACUUUCCACCCAGUGUGCCCUGAGAGCAGCAGUGCCACGUGGCACCCAAGAGAGAACUAAAUUUGGGUAAAGAGGCAGCUAUUCAUUCCCUGGGUGCAUAUCCCAGCCCAGCUCCAGCCUGCUGCAGUGCUUGAGCUGAAAUUUUCCCUGUGCUCAGCACAUUGUGUCUGCAAAAACUGGCAAGGGAGGGUGAAGUAAGGACAGCAUGUGCACCCUCCCACAUUUGAAAUUCAUUCCAGAAUGGAAGAAAACCAGAAUUGCCUUGUAAGUGGAAUUUUGCUUGGAAGCUGAAGUUUCAUUUAAUGCAGGAUUUUGCAGUUGCUCUUGUGCUCCUUGAUGCAGUCAAGGUUAGGUCACUAAUUGGGUCAUCAAGCCCCAUGGGUGCAGUGACAGGGUUUAGUGGAGCAGUGUCUAAGUGCUGGAGCAGCAGCAGUCAUAGCUUCGCUGUGCUCAGUGUUGUUGAGCCUUUGUAGGAGGUGCUGGCAAUGCUGAAGAGCUACUGUUGCCAUGGAGCAGAGUCAAAGCUGUUAUUUUAGCAGCAAGAGAAAGAAUAAUCCUCGCCUCUAUUCCAGGACACAGCUAGCUUGCCUCUGAAUGGAGGGGUUUGUUCAGAGAGCACAGGAAUCCAAGCCCGGUGCUUGUGGAGCGAUGCAAACAGGACCGGUCAGCGGGGACAAGGCAGCCCUGUGCCCAGCUGCAGGCUCUCGCCUAGUCCCUGUGCUCAUAGCUGGGGUUAAUGUAAACCUCAGCUGUGCUUCUUGCUGCAAAGUCCUUGGUAUUCACAGGAGGCCAGUUCGGAUCCCUCUGCAGCAUCUGCUGCCACUUUCGGUACUGGCUUUUGGACUGAUACCCAACGCAGGUUUUAAUCAGCAUCCAGAGGUGCUUGUUCUGCAGGAGAACAUCCUGCAGAGUGACACAGCACAGCAUUAGUGGGAGGAGACCAAAGCCAGCCCCUCUGACAUGUGCCAGCCCGAUAGCUGUGUGAGCCACGGCAAUCCUUUUUCAGUACAGGUAUUGCAUUUUCCUCUUGUGGUGAAGGACACUGCAUGCUUGCUGCCUUGCAGGCAAAAAUACCUGCCACAGGAUGCAACUCCAUGCUCCCACCCAGGGUGGCACAGUCAUCUCUGACCCACAAAGCAUCAUUUGUGUCAGCUGCAUGACAGUGCUCACACUCUACAAGCUUAAGACAUGUGGGCUAAGUCAUUUCUAUCAGGUGCUCUAUCACGUAGAUUUGAUUGACACACAGUGACUAAUAAGGAAAAAGGAGAAAAAAUGAAAAAAAGCAUGUUUGUGCAUCUGCAGGAAGAACGUGGCUGCUAACAGAGGAAGAAAGUCCUGAACAGAUGCCGCUCACUACUGGGAACAGAGAGUAAAUGAAUGCACUCACCUCUGUAAAAAAAGAUACACAGAAGGUGACCAGGAGCAUCAGUAGGACAUAAACUCUCCAGAUCACAGGAGUGCAAAGAAACUGUUGGAAAAGACAGGAGCAGCAAUUAAGUUUGAGUGCCCUGCCAAGAUUUGCAUCUGUUCCUAAUGACUGGAGAGGCUGACUAAUACUUUCUCGAUGGCAAGCAUGGAGAAUUCCGUAGGCAGUGACAGUAAUUCCUUGUCACAGAGAUUUGGAGGGGCUGAUGCCAGAUUCCCCAUGGCAUGUAGCUGCUUCACAUCACCACUGACCCUGAGACAGACACCAGCAGAUCAGCAUUCAGAGCUCAAAUAUUCCAGAGAGCUGCAGCCUCCUACAUGCAAACCCACAUUCUGUGCUGUUGUGUUUUUUUGUUAGGAAGAACAGCUCAGCAAGAAACAAAGCACUUUUUCUUCUGCCCAUUGCAGUCUGGAGGGGAGGGCUGCCUCAUCAAUCAAGCCCUUGUUGAAUGGAUGAUACAGAAAUUUGAAAGAGAUGCCCAGGCAACGUCAAACCACAUCCAUGUCAGCAAGGAAGAGGAAGAGGCAGAUGGCGAGCUGGAGGGUCAGAAUGGCUGAAAAUACAUCUGGAGAAACAAGAGCAUGGGUGGCCCUGGGAAAGGGGCUUUGGUGAUCAGGGCUCUGUGAAAUGAGUUUGGGACCAGCCUAUUGCCAAAAAAAACUAGCGAAAUCAGCUCUGCCAAGGUUAAGCAAGAUCCUGCUCUCUCAUCCGUGAGUAAAAAGCUGCAAUUGCAAAGGAGCUAUAAGUCAGCUGGAGGGUGGUAGAGGCUUUUCUCUCUCAUCUCUCGGAAUGGAAGUCAGGCAAGGUAAAACUGAAUCUCAGAGGAACUCUAUUUCAUGUGUGGAUUUUGAAACAAAUACAUCUGAUCCUUGCACACUGUGUUCUCAGUAAUACACAGUUCUGCACUAAGUGCAGUACAUCAUCUUCUGAAAAGCAUCUCUUUUCCAAAACACAGUUUUCUUUUUCAGCUCUGCUGCUCCUUUUUGCUAGAGGGAAACUAACUUAGGCAGUGUUCACUGAGAUUCUUUAAGGAGGGAAGCAGGAGCACAUACACAACAAUUACAUCACGUGCCAGUCACUGGUGUGGGUACAGAAAAAGCUACAUCGUUCUUUGCCUUCUCUUCUGCCAGGAAGAUUUUGGGGCAGAAAGGGAGUGUACAGAGCACAUGUGUUCCAGCUCUACUCACAAUUGGUGUAGAUGGGCUUGCGGAAGGGCUUUCCCUUGGAAAAGACAAAGGCCACAAUGAUGCAGUUGAUGGAGGACAGCGGCCACAACGUUGUGUCUUCAUAGCUGAGGACAGUGCUCUGGGCACUGCUGCUGGUACUGUUUUCCCCUGGGCCAGUGGGGAGCAAGGUGUGGUUCCUGAGUGAACAGUGUCUGCAAAGUAACAAUCAUCAUCUUGUUCCUGCCUUCUGCAAGAGUGAGCUGCAACAACAACCCUUUCUCCUUUCCUACCCGCAGCAACCAGAUAUCACUGGCAGCAAUAAAAAACACAGUAAAUAGAUAUCAUGUAUACGUAUACGUAGCUGAAAGUCACAGCUUGAAGCAGUGAUUGAGCACCUGGUGGGAAGGCAGGGCCAACCCAAGGAGCUCAGGUGCAUGCAAUGUACCUGAGUGGCCAGAAGAGAUGGAGCCAGGAUGCACCCCUUCCCAAACCUCAUUUAAGGGUUGGCAGCAAAGGCAAGUAGAUCUUGCUGGAGAACCCUGCCUACCUGAGGCCUUCUAAAGAUUUGCUCAGCAGUUCUGGGAAUCAAGUGCACUGCCACACAAAAUCGUCUUUGCAUACAUUUGGCUAAAUGGCAUUAUUCCUGGCUGUUCAAUGACUACAUACAGCACUUGGAUAUGAAAUUUGUAGCUCCCCAGGAUCCCUGUGCACUGCUGUGCAUCUCACACUCGUGACCCCAUGCACUGAACUUGGUGCAGGCAUUGUCCUGAGCCCAACGCAGGGCAGCAGCCAACCAACCUGAUCAGCUCUGGCACACACUGGAUGUUGGGGAUCUGCGAGGUGAAAGGUGAAGCCACCGAUGCCUCCUGCUCAGACAGCGAUAUCCCAGCGUGGGCCACCUUCAAAGCCUGAAACCCACAGGAGCGGGAAGCUGGAGAGGCACACAUCCACCCUUCCCACUGCAUUUAGUGGUGCUUCACAUGUUUUCAAGUGUGCUUUGUCAUUGAUGUUUCCUUAUUCUGUGGCCCAGCUGAUCUCAUUUUUCAGAUAUCUUUCCUCCUCUAGAGCUUAAAUAUUUCUUUUGUUCAUUUAAUCCCACUGUGCCUAUUUACAGUUCUCUGAACUACCCUUCUCUGUCUCCCACAAAGCCUGUUGGGGUUUGUGCAUACCUCUCCUGUUGAACAACUGCCAAACUACUUAAAUCAGCAUGUUCUCCUUGUUCCGCUCCUUUUCAUCUCUUGAUCAUAUUUCUUUUAUUUCUUAUGAGGUCCAUGUGAGCCAGCCCUUUCCCCUCUGGCCUAGCACUAAGGAACAGGUUAUGGAUGGCUUACACCAAACCAGCUAAUGCUGUUACAAAAUGAUAUUAUGGUAACACAUUUAUUGUAGCAAUGUAAUAGACAACGUAAUAAUGAUUUUGAGCAUUAAGGUCCUCAAAUUUGCAUUUGAACAAAUA
Long non-coding RNA from Lagopus leucura (white-tailed ptarmigan), 4874 nucleotides. RefSeq lists it as uncharacterized. The record is from RefSeq and is a predicted model, not a curated record. The transcript is spliced from 6 exons. NCBI's taxonomy places the organism in Eukaryota, Metazoa, Chordata, Aves, Galliformes, Phasianidae.